AGCAUUGGCCGCUAAGUCAAAAGAUACAAAAAACGCAGCAAUAGCCGAACUGGAACAAGGGCUGGUGCAUUUGGAAGAAGUAGCCUCGACAAAGUUGAGCAAAGGGAAAGCUUUGUUCGGUGGGGAAAAUCUUGGGUACAUGGACAUUGCAUUGGGUCCCUUCUUGGUCUGGAUUGGGAUCAUAGAGAAGCUUAAUGGGGUCAAGCUCCUCAACGAAACCAACACCCCGUCGUUGCUUCGUUGGGCUGAUAGCUUCUUUUCUCAUGCAGUCGUGAAGACUAUUUUUCCUGAAGCUGAAAAGCUUAUAGAAUUUGCUAUGAAGCUUAUACCUGUCUUGAGAGCUAGGCCUGAGCUAAGGUUGCUGCUCGGAAUUAGUGAUUAAUCAGUGAGGAUAUUACUGAGUUAAUAAAAUUUGAAGGUUUGUAGUGUUGGGUCACUGUUGUGCUUUGAAUUUAUAGACUAAUUAAUGUACUGUUUAAUAAGCAAGGAUGUAUUAGAGGGUUUUUUACUAAAAUAUUAUAACAAAAAUAAAAAAUUACCAAAAUUUUAUAACUUUUUUUAUUUAUCAAAAUAUAUUUUUUUUAUUUACCAAAAUAUAUAAAAAAAACAUAAAAAAAAUCUAACCGAUGUGAUGGGUGUACCUUGGUCACGCCAAUGGGAUUGGCGGCACCAAAGGUACCAAAGCCAUUGGCGGCACCAAUGGUUCCAAUACCAUUGGCGGCACUACUCGGAUUAUAAAUACGACCUUUGUCCAGCUGAAGAGAGAAAAAUCAAAAGAAAAAAAAAAGAAGAAGAAAUGUUGCUGCGGAAAAGAAGAGAAAAAGAAGGUAUUUUUUUAAAAAUAAUUGAUUAUAUUGUUGUUAUUAUUUUGUAUAUUUUGUAAUAUUUUUUGUUUUACUUUAUUUAUUAAGAUUAAUAAAACUCAAAAUAAUAGUAUUAGUUAGUAUUAUUAUUAUUAUUAUUAUUAUUAUUAUUAUUAUUAUUAUUGUUGUUGUUGUUGUUAUUGUUGUUGUUGUUGUUGUUGUUGUUAGUAUUAAGAUGUUAUUAAUGUAUUAAGAUGUAACUUAGUAAUAUUAUAGUUAGCAAAAAACUAGUAUUAUUAUUAUGGUUACUUAUUAUUUUUGUUUACGAAAAUAAACUAGUUAGUAAAAAACUAGUAUUAUUAUUAUAGUUAGUUAGUUAUUAUUUUUAGUAAAAUUAAUAAUUUUAGUGUGUAUUAUUUUGUAUAUUAUUUUGAGUAUAAAUUUUUUUUAAGUAAUUUAGUUACCGUUCGAGAAUUUUUAUGAGAUUUUUUUUGACAGAUUAAACAUUUAAGAUGGAUGCUAAGUUUCUUGUAUGCGUUUAUUUCGAUGGAAUCAUCUUGACAACAAGUGUUGGAUGUGUAUUUGAAUGUCGGCAACAAAUAGCAAUGAGAUUUAAUAGAAAUGUAUCGUUCGAUGAAAUGAAGGCAAGGAUUAAUGCAAAAAUUCAUAGACGUUGUGGGAGAAGGAUAUCAAAAAUUUUCUACAAGUUUCCAGUUUCGACAAAUCCGGUCAAAUUCGUCGAAAUGGAACUUGUAGACGACAAAGACGUGGAGAAAAUGGUCGAUCUCUACUGUGGGAAUGGGAGUGAGAAGAAUGCACCGAUUCAUUUAUUUGCUGAGUUAGUCGGUAUGGAGCAAAAUGAAGAUGUUAAUGCAUCUGAUGAAGAAGACGGGGCUGAAGAACCGUGGAUGGUGGCUCCAAUAUCAUACGUUGAUAGUGAAUCAACUAUGGGUGGGAUCGGUAUCGACCUGAAUAUUACACCCGAUGUUGACAUGGUUGGUGGUGAAGAAGAAGGUGGUGGCGAAGAAGAAGGUGGUGGCGAUCAUUGGGAUGAAGAGGUCGAUAGUGACGGUGAUCCCGAUGUUGACGAUGUACAUGAUGAUCUUGAUGAUGAAGAUGUCAACAACGAUAAAGGCAUUAACGCUUUUUCGGUCGGGGAGCAGAUGCGGCGUAUUGUGAUACACAAUAAUCCUGGGCCCACAUGUCGCUCAUAGACCCCGACGCAGCGUAUGUAGCUGAGUUUCCAGAGUACCCUGAAAUAGUUCAUUCUCACGGGCUGCCCGUAACAUCUGAUGAUGAUGAGAUAUUCAUAGGCCAGAGAUUCAGCUGUAAAGAAGAGUGCGUAUAUGCCAUUAAACGGUACAACAUGAAGAUAUCGGUGGAUUAUAAAGUAUUCGUGUCUACUCCGACAAUAUAUGUUGGGGAGUGUUGGAAGGCAGCGGAAGGCUGCAAUUGGCGAGUACGAGCUGCAUUCAUUAGAAGUUCUCAACUGUGGGAGAUACGAAAAUUUGUUGGUCCUCAUACAUGCACAUCAACACGUAUGAUAGAAGAUCAUGGAAAACUUGAUUCGAAAACUAUUUGUGCGUGUAUCAUGCCAAUGGUGAAGGACAUGCCGACCAUUAAAGUUUCAGUACUUAUUGCGGAAAUGCAAGCACGAUUCCAAUAUCGAGUCUCAUAUCGGAAGGCAUGGAUAGCUAAACAGAUGGCGAUGGAGCAACUGUAUGGGGAUUACGAUUCGUCGUAUAACGAGCUUCAAGGUUGGAUAACCAUGUGAAUCCACAUUUGACUAUGAAUGUCCGGGAUCUGGCUGGGGGUCCUGCUCUGGCUCUGUUAGUUGCGGAGAACAAUAUGCCGUCAGAUUUGGAUCCAUCGGGCUCGGGUGGUCCGAUGCCCCAACUUGCUGCACGUACGGGGGGAUUAUAGUCGAUUGCCCUCCAAGUAAAUAUGGCUUCCCGCAACUAUGGUACCAUUGUGUAUACUCCAAUGAUGGUUGCAGGUCCGUAGCCAUAACUAUUUGAGGAAUUCGGUGAAAUCGAUCGUUCCACAGUGCGACGUAUUUCCGGUGCUUGAUUCCCCAGUCCAAUUGAACUCUUCCUCUCUUUGUCAAGCCGUGAUCAUCCUCCAACUGGGCCGGCAGAUCCGGGAUAGGUUGGAUGCACCCAAACUGCCGAAGCACGCGAUCGCCGUGAUACCACUCGACGACGUUGAAAUUAAUAAUUGGUGUGUUAAUGCACCAUAUAUGGGAAUCAACGAGUGCGGACGAGGGUACGACAUUUGUAAUUUCCCGCCUCUGGUAUGGCAUCCAUAUAAACUGCAUGAGCAAUAACAUUGUAACGAGUUAGAUCGAUAACAUGUGAUUAAGAUAUAGAAAUAGAAUAGAUAUCAUGAAUAUUAGAAUAGCAGCGUACCCCUUCCCGGGCAUGCUGUUCAAUCCUCAUGCGGUAUAUCGGGACAUCAGACGACUUCUCGAUGCCAGGACGGGUCGUCCACCUACAAAAAAUAGUAUAGGGUUUAGGGUUGGUAACAUUACUCAAUAUAUUAUGACUACAAAUAAUGACAAUUUAGCGUCUUAUCACCUGAGUGGCAGUGGAUACAGAUAGGGUUGGUGACUAACGCGUGCCAAAAACGGCAUCCGAUAAAGCGCCCACGACUGCAGCAGUAUGAGGCAUCCGCCGAUGUCUUUAACCUGCGGCUCUGUCGCCCGACAAAGCUCUCAGUAGAGCGUUGCUAGAACGACGAAACCCCAGCUAUACCGCCUAGCAAUGGAGAAAUCAGCUAGCAGGGGCAGGUACGACAAAUGCACACAGUCUCCGUUUGCAUCAGGCAUGAGUACUGCCCCUAUCAUAUGCAUGAUGUACGCUCGGGCAACGCACAUCAACUCACCUUCAGUGGCGGUCGCUGAUAAUUGUCUAAUUUUGGCUUUUAGCCAUGUAAAUUUGAUGCCGGAAAAAUAUUUGUCGUCGUCCUCUGACGACUCUCUUAGGAGUUGAUAGCAAACUGCAGCCGGAUCGGUGAAUGACGAUACUCCCGUUAUGGGACUCCCGUCAAUUGGGAGCCCCAGCUGCACUGCAACAUCCUCCAAGGUCACCGUGCACUCCCCGCACGGAAAAUGGAAAGUAUGGGUCUCCGGACGCCAUCGCUCCACUAGCGCAGAUAAUAAAUCAAAGCGCAAGUCGGACGACCGGAUUAAUGCUACUGACCCAAAUCCGGCUAGCUCCAGGUACGGCAGCAAUCGAUCAUCCGGAGCUUUCUUUAAAACACUCACGCGGCCCCUUAAUACUCGGAACGAGUCCUGAUAGUGUUAAAUUACAGAAAAAAAUAUUACGAUAACAUAAUUUCUUUGUAUAUACUGCGUAUAUCCUUUUAAAAUAAAUAGAACUCCUGAUUAACCAAUAAUAAAUCAUACCGCGUUAUUAGCCGCAUCAGAUAUGUGUCUAAUAUUGCUUUGAAUCAAUCCAGCCAUUGCUAUGCCUGCAAGUUGAAAAAAAAGUUAGAAAAAAAUUCUUACUUUGGCCAUUUAUUCGUAUUUUUUUUCUCCGCAUUUUAUUCCUGUAAAAAAUAUGAUAAUUUCUAAAUUUAUAAUUUUACAUUAUUCCAGUGCAUAAUGUUUGAAAUUUAUUAAUCUAGUGUGUUAUUUAAAUUAAUUUUUUGUAAAAAUAACCCUUACCCCUGCCCUUUGCUUGUAUUAAUUUUCUGUAAAAAAAAUAACCAUCACUCUCUUUUUUGCAGUUUUUUUUGAUAUAUUUUGGUAAAUAAAAAUAUAUAUAUUUUGGUAAAUAAAAAAAACUUAUAACAUUUUGGUUAUUUUUAAUUUUUAAUAUAUUUGUAAAAACCCAUUAUUCUGGUAAAAAAAACUUUUAUAAUGUUUUCUUAUUUUUUUAAUAUUUUGGUAAAAAAACCCGAAAUAAACCCUUUUCCCUACCCUUUGGUCGUAUUAUUAUUUUCCCAAUUUUUAUUACUUUCAAGAAAAAUAUAUUAUUUUCGUAUUUUAUUAUUUUAUAUUAUUUCAGUACAUUUUGUUUCAAUUAUUUGUAUAACUUAUUUCUGAAUUUUUUAAAAAAUUUACUAAUACACUCUUACUUCGGCCAUUUGUUUGUAUUUCUUUUCCGUAUUUUAUUAUUUUUAAAAAUAUCGUAAUUUUUUAUUUUAUAAUUUUAUAUUAUUUCAAUUUAUUAUUUUUUUUGUAGAGAGAGUAAAAUGCAAUCUGACUCUUAGUACAUGGGCCACUAUGAUACUUUUACCUUUAGUGACUUAUCUAUAUGGCUCUUUGAUCUAAUGUGUUUGAUUGAAUUGAUGUCACAUAUUAACCGAGUUUAACUCAAUUGUAAAAUUACCAAAAGCCCAUUUCUUAUACAAAGUAACAAAUAUUAUUUUGAUAGUGUUUAUAUCAUUUUAUAGUUUGAUAAAUCUAAAUAUAUAUACAUAUGAUAAAAAUUAUAAGAUUUAAACCCAAAACUUCAUAGCUUUUACUAUAUCAAUUUUAUUGUUUUAAUCACAAUCACAAUCAUAUUUAAUAUUUAUAUUAAUUUUUUAUAAAUUUGUUACAGCUCGUCCCCGCCUUGAUAAUAGCAUUGGCCGCUAAGUCAAAAGAUACAAAAAACGCAGCAAUAGCCGAACUGGAACAAGGGCUGGUGCAUUUGGAAGAAGCAGCCUCGACAAAGUUGAGCAAAGGGAAAGCUUUGUUCGGUGGGGAAAAUCUUGGGUACAUGGACAUUGCAUUGGGUCCCUUCUUGGUCUGGAUUGGGAUCAUAGAGAAGCUUAAUGGGGUCAAGCUGCUCAACGAAACCAACACGCCAUCGUUGCUUCGUUGGGCUGACAGCUUCUUUUCUCAUGCAGUCGUGAAGACUAUUUUUCCUGAAGCUGAAAAGCUUAUAGAAUUUGCUAUGAAGCUUAUACCUGUCUUGAGAGCUAGGCCUGAGCUAAGGUUGCUGCUCGGAAUUAGUGAUUAAUCAGCGAGGAUAUUACCGAGUUAAUAAAAUUUGAAGGUUUGUAAUGUUGGGUCACUGUUGUGCUUUGAAUUUAUAGACUAAUUAAUGUACUGUUUAAUA
This 5851-nucleotide long non-coding RNA is filed under the name Gossypium barbadense (sea-island cotton). RNAcentral describes it as "long non-coding RNA (GBAR_LNC018247)". Lineage: Eukaryota; Viridiplantae; Streptophyta; Magnoliopsida; Malvales; Malvaceae. The record is from RNAcentral.